UACGUAGGGUGCGAGCGUUGUCCGGAUUUAUUAGGCGUAAAGAGCCCGCAGGCGGCCUGGCAAGUUUCAGGUGAAAUCUCCCGGCUCAACUGGGAGGGGUCCUGGAAAACUGUCAGGCUUGAGGCAGGGAGAGGGAUGUGGAAUUCCCGGUGUAGUGGUGAAAUGCGUAGAUAUCGGGAGGAACACCAGUGGCGAAGGCGGCAUCCUGGCCCUGUCCUGACGCUCAGGGGCGAAAGCGUGGGGAGCAAACCGG
RNAcentral lists this ribosomal RNA (253 nucleotides) under uncultured bacterium. RNAcentral's name for it is "partial 16S ribosomal RNA". It matches the Rfam family "Bacterial small subunit ribosomal RNA", at positions 524 to 776 of the family's 1533-position model. The record is from RNAcentral.